CAAAGUCAUCUUACAGUAUUUGUGUCUCAAUCGUACCUCUUUGAAGCUAUAUUUCUUUGUAUGUUGGUGAAAUGAAAUUUUUUACACUAUUUAUUUUUGGUGCUAUCCUCGGAUUGUGUGUAACUGAGUCUCCUCAAAUAGAUACAAGAUACGCAUGUGAAGGAAGAACAUUAAACAUUGAAUGUAACAACGGCUCCGUUAUACGGCUUAUUCGAGCAAGCUAUGGACGAUUUUUGAUAACAAUUUGCAAUAAAAACGGGAACACUAAUUGGAAUACCAACUGCUUCUCAACCCAAACUAUGCGCGUUGCACAUAAUAGGUGUCACAUGCAACAGUCUUGUACUUUACUAGCGAAUGCUGAUGAAUUCGGGGAUCCCUGUCCAGGCACGGGCAAAUAUUUAGAAAUUCAUUAUCAAUGUGUACCAGCUCCAACUACUACUACUACGGAGCCUUCGGCACCAC
Pieris brassicae (large cabbage white) is the source of this 462-nucleotide long non-coding RNA. RefSeq lists it as uncharacterized. The transcript has 4 exons. NCBI's taxonomy places the organism in Eukaryota, Metazoa, Arthropoda, Insecta, Lepidoptera, Pieridae. The record is from RefSeq and is a predicted model, not a curated record.